CUACGGAGGGUGCAAGCGUUACUCGGAAUCACUGGGCGUAAAGCGCGCGCAGGCGGCUUGAUAAGUUGGAUGUGAAAGCCUACGGCUCAACCGUAGAACUGCAUCCAAAACUGUCAGGCUAGAGUGUGGGAGAGGAAGAUGGAAUUAGUUGUGUAGGGGUAAAAUCCGUAGAGAUAACUAGGAAUACCAAAAGCGAAGGCAAUCUUCUGGAACACUACUGACGCUGAGGCGCGAAGGCGUGGGGAGCAAACAGGAUUAGAAACCCGGGUAGUCC
RNAcentral lists this ribosomal RNA (274 nucleotides) under uncultured bacterium. RNAcentral describes it as "partial 16S ribosomal RNA". It matches the Rfam family "Bacterial small subunit ribosomal RNA", at positions 523 to 796 of the family's 1533-position model. The record is from RNAcentral.